This 253-nucleotide ribosomal RNA is filed under the name uncultured bacterium. RNAcentral describes it as "partial 16S ribosomal RNA". It matches the Rfam family "Bacterial small subunit ribosomal RNA", at positions 524 to 776 of the family's 1533-position model. The record is from RNAcentral.
UACGUAGGUGGCAAGCGUUGUUCGGAAUUACUGGGCGUAAAGCGUGCGCAGGCGGUUUUGUAAGCCAGAUGUGAAAUCCCCGGGCUCAACCUGGGAAUGGCAUUUGGGACUGCAAGGCUGGAGUUUGGCAGAGGAGACUGGAAUUCCCGGUGUAGCAGUGAAAUGCGUAGAUAUCGGGGGGAAUACCGAUGGCGAAGGCAGGUCUCUGGGCUAUAACUGACGCUCAUGCACGAAAGCGUGGGGAGCAAACAGG